This 54-nucleotide transfer RNA is filed under the name Eriachne stipacea. RNAcentral describes it as "tRNA-Met". RNAcentral also lists the same sequence under 1 other name. The record is from RNAcentral. Lineage: Eukaryota; Viridiplantae; Streptophyta; Magnoliopsida; Poales; Poaceae.
GUAUAGGUGUUUGGUAGCUUACAAAGCCCGUAACCCCAAGGUUACGGGUUCGAU